ACUGCUCAGUAACACGUGGACAACCUGCCCUUAGGUUGGGUAUAAACCCGGGAAACUGGGUAUAAUACCCGAUAGGUCUCGAUUGCUGGAAUGCAUCGAGAUUUAAAGCUCCGGCGCCUAAGGAUGGGUCUGCGGCCUAUCAGGUAGUAGUGGGUGUAGCGUACCUACUAGCCUACGACGGGUACGGGUUGUGAGAGCAAGAGCCCGGAGAUGGAUUCUGAGACACGAAUCCAGGCCCUACGGGGUGCAGCAGGCGCGAAAACUUUACAAUGCUGGCAACAGCGAUAAGGGAACCUCGAGUGCCAGGUUACAAAUCUGGCUGUCGAGAUGCCUAAAAAGCAUUUCAUAGCAAGGGCCGGGCAAGACCGGUGCCAGCCGCCGCGGUAACACCGGCGGCUCGAGUGGUAACCGUUAUUAUUGGGUCUAAAGGGUCUGUAGCCGGCCGGAUAAGUCUCUUGAGAAACCUGGCAGCUUAACUGUCAGGCUUUCAGGAGAUACUGUCUGGCUCGAGGCCGGGAGAGGUGAGAGGUACUUCAGGGGUAGGGGUGAAAUCUUGUAAUCCUUGAAGGACCACCAGUGGCGAAGGCGUCUCACCAGAACGGACCUGACGGCAAGGGACGAAAGCUAGGGGCACGAACCGGAUUAGAUACCCGGGUAGUCCUAGCCGUAAACGAUACUCGCUAGGUGUCGGCCACGGUGCGACCGUUGUCGGUGCCGUAGGGAAGCCGUGAAGCGAGCCACCUGGGAAGUACGGCCGCAAGGCUGAAACUUAAAGGAAUUGGCGGGGGAGCAC
This 793-nucleotide ribosomal RNA is filed under the name uncultured archaeon. RNAcentral describes it as "bacterial SSU rRNA". It matches the Rfam family "Archaeal small subunit ribosomal RNA", at positions 85 to 879 of the family's 1478-position model. The record is from RNAcentral.